GGUUGAUGCCAUGCUUCCAAGAAAAGCUUCUAAGCUUCAGAUAACUAGGAACCGUACCCCAAACCGACACAGGUGGUUGGGUAGAGAAUACCAAGGCGCUUGAGAGAACUCGGGUGAAGGAACUAGGCAAAAUGGCACCGUAACUUCGGGAGAAGGUGCGCCGGUGAGGGUGAAGGACUUGCUCCGUAAGCUCAUGCCGGUCGAAGAUACCAGGCCGCUGCGACUGUUUAUUAAAAACACAGCACUCUGCAAACACGAAAGUGGACGUAUAGGGUGUGA
This 279-nucleotide ribosomal RNA is filed under the name Bacillus cereus. RNAcentral's name for it is "partial 23S ribosomal RNA". It matches the Rfam family "Bacterial large subunit ribosomal RNA", at positions 1592 to 1855 of the family's 2925-position model. Lineage: Bacteria; Bacillati; Bacillota; Bacilli; Caryophanales; Bacillaceae. The record is from RNAcentral.